This 860-nucleotide long non-coding RNA is filed under the name Manihot esculenta (cassava). RNAcentral describes it as "long non-coding RNA (MESC_LNC005153)". Lineage: Eukaryota; Viridiplantae; Streptophyta; Magnoliopsida; Malpighiales; Euphorbiaceae. The record is from RNAcentral.
GGUGCAUAUAAACGAGUACUGCAUUUCCUUUCCCAAUUUCCUUUUGUUAUCCUUACCACUUUACCGCAGGCAGAGAGCCUUCCUUUUCCGAUUCUCUAUUUCCUUUCCUCAUUCCCAAUCUCCGAUCCAUCCCUAAAAACAACUGACGAGAGAUCGAUGAUGAUGAAGAUGCUUUGUUGGAGGAAGAGCAGGAGCUUCCAUCUUCAGCUACAAGGGGCAAUUGGUACCAUUCAAUCUCCAUUCCUAUUCUUAUUUCCCAAUUAUUGCCAUUCUUCUACUUCCACAGUUGAAGAUGCACGCUUCUUGACAAAUAACUUCAAAUCUGCUUCUUUUACCCGCCUUGAUCAUGCCAUUGCUACCUUCAAUCAUGUAAUUCAUAGUUAGUUCAACACCAAAUAACGCUUUAUUAUCGAGGAGAAGGAGAUCUGCAAUGUACAACUCUUCUUAUUUAGCUAAUAGAAUUUGGGUUUUCACCUUUGAAAAGUGAAGUAAUAUAGCAAAAUCAAAAGUGCAGAGCAAGAGAGCAAAAAAAAAAAAAAAACAGACAAUCUCACAUUAGAAAGAGAAUUUAUUUAUAGAGGAUCUGGUCAAGAAUAAAUAUUAGAUCCAAAAACUAAGGAAAAAUCAGUAGAUGAAAUGAACAAUAGGCUUUACAGGAGAGGAGUGAUUGUAUGAAUUAACUGAAUAGUUCUCCAUGUUAGUGGGUUUUGAAUGAAAGGUGGAGUUGGAAGAGAGGAGGGUUAUGAGAGGUGAGUAGUAGGAGUUGUGAGUCCAUUAGCGUGAAAGAAAAGAGAAAAAGAGAAGAAUGAGAUAUUGUAUAAGAUUUUUUUGUUAGUAGCGGAAGACACGUCAGCAAAUUA